UGGAAUGAAAUAAUCAAUCACAUUAAUUAGUUAAGUAACACAACCGUGUACAAUACUUAAUAACAACCAUACAUUUCCAUUAUUGGAGAGGUGCUAUCCUUGGGAACUGAACCUCAUUAAGACCUCCUAGCUAGGAACAGAGCAAACAGCUUUUAUCCCUGUACAUGUCCAUAUCAUGUAUAUACUCCAUAGCCUUGCGUUAACACCUUAUUGGCGAUAAGAUUCGUAAAACUUAUUUGAAUACAUAUGGCCUUAACCAGCCUUUCUUGGGGUACAAAGAAUUGUUAUAAGAAACUUGAGAAACCAUUCUUGUAUUCUCUUGCUGCCUAUGAGAUUUUGCGUUGAAUGAAGAAUGUCUUGCUUGCCUGUGUUUCCUUCUUGGCUGUGAUGACCUUGGAAUGAAAACUCCUGUUCCUUUGCUUUGAAAAACUCCUGUUCCUUUGCUUUCUCUUCUUUGCUCAUACAUAAAUGGCGAUGGUGCUGUUGGGUAAUUCGCUCUUGAGAAAUUCUGCGAGAGUUUGAAAAUUAAUGAACUAUAGAUAUUGCAGGAAAGAAGCAAGAUAAUGUUGUUCUUUCAUGAAAAGAGGACAUGGAGAUGGACAAAAACCUGGAAAGAAACUGAAGGAUAAUUUGCAACUGAGUCCUCAUCAUCUUCCAUGAUUAGUAGAGAAAUUUGCUUGCUUAAGUCUGCAAAGAACAAAUCAUCUUCUAACUCCAUAGCAACUUCCGGUUAAAGACCACUCUUUGUUUCUUUGGUAUGCUACUGAGAGAGUGUUAAUUGAGCACAAAAAAAAAAAAAAAA
This 802-nucleotide unclassified non-coding RNA is filed under the name Hevea brasiliensis (rubber tree). Lineage: Eukaryota; Viridiplantae; Streptophyta; Magnoliopsida; Malpighiales; Euphorbiaceae. The record is from RNAcentral.